This 253-nucleotide ribosomal RNA is filed under the name uncultured bacterium. Its description in RNAcentral is "partial 16S ribosomal RNA". It matches the Rfam family "Bacterial small subunit ribosomal RNA", at positions 524 to 776 of the family's 1533-position model. The record is from RNAcentral.
UACAGAGGGUGCAAACGUUGCUCGGAAUCAUUGGGCGUAAAGCGCACGUAGGCGGUCCAGCAAGUGGGGAGUGAAAUCCCUCGGCUCAACCGGGGAACUGCGUCCGAUACUGGAUGGCUUGAGUUUGGGAGAGGGAUGCGGAAUUCCAGGUGUAGCGGUGAAAUGCGUAGAUAUCUGGAGGAACACCGGUGGCGAAGGCGGCAUCCUGGACCAACACUGACACUGAGGAGCGAAAGCCAGGGGAGCAAACGGG